This 391-nucleotide ribosomal RNA is filed under the name uncultured Methanosaeta sp. Its description in RNAcentral is "bacterial SSU rRNA". It matches the Rfam family "Archaeal small subunit ribosomal RNA", at positions 948 to 1338 of the family's 1478-position model. The record is from RNAcentral. Lineage: Archaea; Methanobacteriati; Methanobacteriota; Methanomicrobia; Methanotrichales; Methanotrichaceae.
UGAAGGCCAGGCUGAAGACUUUGCCGGAUUAGCUGAGAGGUGGUGCAUGGCCGUCGUCAGUUCGUACUGUGAAGCAUCCUGUUAAGUCAGGCAACGAGCGAGACCCACGCCCACAGUUGCCAGCGUACUCUCCGGAGUGACGGGUACACUGUGGGGACCGCCGCUGCUAAAGCGGAGGAAGGAAUGGGCAACGGUAGGUCAGUAUGCCCCGAAUAUCCCGGGCUACACGCGAGCUACAAUGGUUGGUACAAUGGGUAUCUACCCCGAAAGGGGACGGGAAUCUCCUAAAACCAAUCUUAGUUCGGAUUGAGGGCUGCAACUCGCCCUCAUGAAGCUGGAAUCCGUAGUAAUCGCGUCUCAACAGAACGCGGUGAAUACGUCCCUGCUCCUU